Molecule: long non-coding RNA, 177 nt
Organism: Saccostrea cuccullata (small rock oyster)
Lineage: Eukaryota; Metazoa; Mollusca; Bivalvia; Ostreida; Ostreidae
Exons: 2
Source: RefSeq, a predicted model, not a curated record
AAUGGCUCUUCUCGCAACAUUAUCGUUUAUAUUUGGAUUCCUCUACACUACACUUGGUCAGUAUAAUUUAACAAGUUCCAACCCGGCAGCAAUACUUGGAAAAACGUUCACGUGGAAAUGUUCAAUGUUUCUACCACAGGGACAAACAAUAAAAGCUGUUACUUUCUUCCGAAACAA